CACUGUUUCGGCAAUGGGAUCUGCCUUUAACCGUCCGCCAGGACUGAUGAUACCUACUUUUUC
This 63-nucleotide non-coding RNA is filed under the name Bacteroidia bacterium. Its description in RNAcentral is "Fluoride sequence". It matches the Rfam family "Fluoride riboswitch aptamer (crcB RNA motif)". The record is from RNAcentral. Lineage: Bacteria; Pseudomonadati; Bacteroidota; Bacteroidia.